This 384-nucleotide ribosomal RNA is filed under the name uncultured bacterium. Its description in RNAcentral is "bacterial SSU rRNA". It matches the Rfam family "Bacterial small subunit ribosomal RNA", at positions 30 to 416 of the family's 1533-position model. The record is from RNAcentral.
AUUGAACGCUGGCGGCAUGCCUUACACAUGCAAGUCGAACGGCAGCACGGGGCAACCUGGUGGCGAGUGGCGAACGGGUGAGUAAUGCAUCGGAACGUGCCAUUGAGUGGGGGAUAACGUAGCGAAAGUUGCGCUAAUACCGCAUAUUCUGUGAGCAGGAAAGCAGGGGACCGCAAGGCCUUGCGCUCUUUGAGCGGCCGAUGUCAGAUUAGCUAGUUGGUGAGGUAGCGGCUUACCAAGGCGACGAUCUGUAGCGGGUCUGAGAGGAUGAUCCGCCACACUGGAACUGAGACACGGUCCAGACUCCUACGGGAGGCAGCAGUGGGGAAUUUUGGACAAUGGGCGCAAGCCUGAUCCAGCCAUGCCGCGUGAGUGAAGAAGGCC